UAAUACGGAGGGUGCAAGCGUUAAUCGGAAUUACUGGGCGUAAAGCGCACGUAGGCGGCGAGUUAGGCUAGCUGUGAAAGCCCCGGGCUCAACCUGGGAACUGCAGUUAGAACUGGCUGGCUAGAGUACGGUAGAGGAGUGUGGAAUUUCCUGUGUAGCGGUGAAAUGCGUAGAUAUAGGAAGGAACAUCAGUGGCGAAGGCGACACUCUGGACUGAUACUGACGCUGAGGUGCGUAAGCGUGGGGAGCAAACAGGAUUAGAUACCCUGGUAGUCCACGCCGUAAACGAUGUCUACUAGCCGUUGGGAGCCUUGAGCUCUUAGUGGCGCAGCUAACGCACUAAGUAGACCGCCUGGGGAGUACGGCCGCAAGGUUA
RNAcentral lists this ribosomal RNA (376 nucleotides) under uncultured bacterium. Its description in RNAcentral is "bacterial SSU rRNA". It matches the Rfam family "Bacterial small subunit ribosomal RNA", at positions 521 to 896 of the family's 1533-position model. The record is from RNAcentral.